Long non-coding RNA from Dreissena polymorpha, 569 nucleotides. RefSeq lists it as uncharacterized. The record is from RefSeq and is a predicted model, not a curated record. Lineage: Eukaryota; Metazoa; Mollusca; Bivalvia; Myida; Dreissenidae. The transcript is spliced from 2 exons.
GUUUCCGGAUGAUAACUCAAGAACGCUUACGCCUAGGAUCAUGAAACUUCAUAGGUACAUUGAUCAUGACUCGCAGAUGACCCAUAUUGACUUUCAGGUCACUAGGUCAAAGGUCACGGUGACUUGACACAGUUAAAUGGUUCAGGAUGAUAAAUCAAGAAAACUUACGCCUAGGAUCAUGAAACUUUAUAGGUAUAUUUAUCAUGACUCGCAGAUGGCCCCUAUUGAUUUUCAGGUCACUAGGUCAAAGGUCAAGGUCACAGUGCCAAAAAACGUAUUCACACAAUUUCUGCCACUACAACUGACAGCCCAUAUGGGGGGCAUGCAUGUUUUUCAAACAGCCCUUGUUUUAAUUUAUAUUGAAAUAUAUGUUUAAUAAGUUUUUUUUUACACAUUUUAUAUAAAUUAUAAGCUAUUUGACAAAAUCGUAUAAUCUCGCUUUAAACUAAACUGAUCAUAACGCAGAUGCUGGUUAAUAUUUGGGUUGUAGUAUGUUUUGUGAAUAUUAUAUUGUAAAAUAUAUAUUUAGUUAUUUAUUUGAUUAAUAAAUUGUUACUACACACAUAAAA